GAUGAACGCUGGCGGCGUGCCUAAUACAUGCAAGUCGAGCGAACGGACGAGAAGCUUGCUUCUCUGACGUUAGCGGCGGACGGGUGAGUAACACGUGGAUAACCUACCUAUAAGACUGGGAUAACUUCGGGAAACCGGAGCUAAUACCGGAUAAUAUUUUGAACCGCAUGGUUCAAAAGUGAAAGACGGUCUUGCUGUCACUUAUAGAUGGAUCCGCGCUGCAUUAGCUAGUUGGUAAGGUAACGGCUUACCAAGGCAACGAUGCAUAGCCGACCUGAGAGGGGGGUGGGCCACACGGGAACUGAGAAACGGUCCAGACUCCUACGGGAGGCAGCAGGAGGGAAUUUUCCGAAAUGGGCGAAAGCCUGACGGAGAAACGCCGCGUGAGUGAAGAAGGUCUUCGGAUCGUAAAACUCUUUUUUUAGGGAAGAAAAAAUGUGUAAGUAACGGUGCACAUCUUGACGGAACCUAAAAAGAAAACCACGGCUAACUACGU
This 496-nucleotide ribosomal RNA is filed under the name uncultured bacterium. RNAcentral describes it as "partial 16S ribosomal RNA". It matches the Rfam family "Bacterial small subunit ribosomal RNA", at positions 28 to 506 of the family's 1533-position model. The record is from RNAcentral.